GGCUAUUGUUUCUCUUCAAAUCGUAUAAAUCUUUCGCCUUUUACUAAAGAUUUCCGUGGAGAGAAACUGUAAGAGUUUAACCCAAUUUUUUGAUAUCCUGCUAAUUGGUGGGGUU
Molecule: small nuclear RNA, 115 nt
Organism: Poecilia formosa (Amazon molly)
Lineage: Eukaryota; Metazoa; Chordata; Actinopteri; Cyprinodontiformes; Poeciliidae
Gene: U5
Rfam family: U5 spliceosomal RNA
About the family: U5 RNA is a component of both types of known spliceosome.
Source: Ensembl